This 1550-nucleotide ribosomal RNA is filed under the name Klebsiella pneumoniae. RNAcentral's name for it is "bacterial SSU rRNA". It matches the Rfam family "Bacterial small subunit ribosomal RNA". The record is from RNAcentral. Lineage: Bacteria; Pseudomonadati; Pseudomonadota; Gammaproteobacteria; Enterobacterales; Enterobacteriaceae.
AAAUUGAAGAGUUUGAUCAUGGCUCAGAUUGAACGCUGGCGGCAGGCCUAACACAUGCAAGUCGAGCGGUAGCACAGAGAGCUUGCUCUCGGGUGACGAGCGGCGGACGGGUGAGUAAUGUCUGGGAAACUGCCUGAUGGAGGGGGAUAACUACUGGAAACGGUAGCUAAUACCGCAUAAUGUCGCAAGACCAAAGUGGGGGACCUUCGGGCCUCAUGCCAUCAGAUGUGCCCAGAUGGGAUUAGCUAGUAGGUGGGGUAAUGGCUCACCUAGGCGACGAUCCCUAGCUGGUCUGAGAGGAUGACCAGCCACACUGGAACUGAGACACGGUCCAGACUCCUACGGGAGGCAGCAGUGGGGAAUAUUGCACAAUGGGCGCAAGCCUGAUGCAGCCAUGCCGCGUGUGUGAAGAAGGCCUUCGGGUUGUAAAGCACUUUCAGCGGGGAGGAAGGCGUUAAGGUUAAUAACCUUGGCGAUUGACGUUACCCGCAGAAGAAGCACCGGCUAACUCCGUGCCAGCAGCCGCGGUAAUACGGAGGGUGCAAGCGUUAAUCGGAAUUACUGGGCGUAAAGCGCACGCAGGCGGUCUGUCAAGUCGGAUGUGAAAUCCCCGGGCUCAACCUGGGAACUGCAUUCGAAACUGGCAGGCUAGAGUCUUGUAGAGGGGGGUAGAAUUCCAGGUGUAGCGGUGAAAUGCGUAGAGAUCUGGAGGAAUACCGGUGGCGAAGGCGGCCCCCUGGACAAAGACUGACGCUCAGGUGCGAAAGCGUGGGGAGCAAACAGGAUUAGAUACCCUGGUAGUCCACGCCGUAAACGAUGUCGAUUUGGAGGUUGUGCCCUUGAGGCGUGGCUUCCGGAGCUAACGCGUUAAAUCGACCGCCUGGGGAGUACGGCCGCAAGGUUAAAACUCAAAUGAAUUGACGGGGGCCCGCACAAGCGGUGGAGCAUGUGGUUUAAUUCGAUGCAACGCGAAGAACCUUACCUGGUCUUGACAUCCACAGAACUUUCCAGAGAUGGAUUGGUGCCUUCGGGAACUGUGAGACAGGUGCUGCAUGGCUGUCGUCAGCUCGUGUUGUGAAAUGUUGGGUUAAGUCCCGCAACGAGCGCAACCCUUAUCCUUUGUUGCCAGCGGUUCGGCCGGGAACUCAAAGGAGACUGCCAGUGAUAAACUGGAGGAAGGUGGGGAUGACGUCAAGUCAUCAUGGCCCUUACGACCAGGGCUACACACGUGCUACAAUGGCAUAUACAAAGAGAAGCGACCUCGCGAGAGCAAGCGGACCUCAUAAAGUAUGUCGUAGUCCGGAUUGGAGUCUGCAACUCGACUCCAUGAAGUCGGAAUCGCUAGUAAUCGUAGAUCAGAAUGCUACGGUGAAUACGUUCCCGGGCCUUGUACACACCGCCCGUCACACCAUGGGAGUGGGUUGCAAAAGAAGUAGGUAGCUUAACCUUCGGGAGGGCGCUUACCACUUUGUGAUUCAUGACUGGGGUGAAGUCGUAACAAGGUAACCGUAGGGGAACCUGCGGUUGGAUCACCUCCUUACCUUAAAGAA